CUUAAAAUUUUUUUUUUAACAUUCGAUAACAUUGGAACGAUAUAGAGGAUGUUAGCAUGGCCUUUGCACAAGGAUGACACACACAAAUCAGAAAAUGGUCACAUUCUA
Molecule: non-coding RNA, 108 nt
Organism: Gossypium hirsutum (cotton)
Lineage: Eukaryota; Viridiplantae; Streptophyta; Magnoliopsida; Malvales; Malvaceae
Source: Rfam